AACGAACGCUGGCGGCAUGCCUAACACAUGCAAGUCGAACGAGACCUUCGGGUCUAGUGGCGCACGGGUGCGUAACGCGUGGGAACCUGCCCUUAGGUUCGGAAUAACUCCCCGAAAGGGGUGCUAAUACCGGAUAAUGUCUUCGGACCAAAGAUUUAUCGCCUUUGGAUGGGCCCGCGUUGGAUUAGCUAGUUGGUAGGGUAAAAGCCUACCAAGGCGACGAUCCAUAGCUGGUCUGAGAGGAUGAUCAGCCACACUGGGGCUGAGACACGGCCCAGACUCCUGCGGGAGGCAGCAGUGGGGAAUAUUGGACAAUGGGCGAAAGCCUGAUCCAGCAAUGCCGCGUGAGUGAUGAAGGCCUUAGGGUUGUAAAGCUCUUUUACCCGGGAUGAUAAUGACAGUACCGGGAGAAUAAGCUCCGGCUAACUCCGUG
This 433-nucleotide ribosomal RNA is filed under the name uncultured bacterium. Its description in RNAcentral is "partial 16S ribosomal RNA". It matches the Rfam family "Bacterial small subunit ribosomal RNA", at positions 29 to 507 of the family's 1533-position model. The record is from RNAcentral.